AUGUUGGCUGCCAAGGUGGUGCCAGGCCCCGCUGUGAUGGACAGCUCCUCUGUUUUGUUUACUCUUCUAGGCAGGGUGAUAAAUUCUCCUUCUAAUCAGGUUCCGUGUUUCUCACUCUCCUAUGCACCAACCCUGCUAAUGAAUGAUUCACUGAAGUUAGUGGCUAAGAACAGCAUGCUGCACCCUGCUCUGCCUUUGUUAUGCAAAGUCAUGCCCUCACUAUCUCCCAAACACAAAACCGAGUUCCCGAGGAUGGCGUGGAUAGAUGAUGGAGUGUACAACAGCCCCGGAGGCUAAGCACCAAGAAAACAGGGACUUUGGAUUUUGUCCUCUAUGCUUCCUGCUGAUGCCAAGGCCUGGAAUAGAUGACCUACCUUGAUCUGGGCACCAAAACAGUCCUGCUUGGCUUCCUGUUGGGUUUAAUGCUGCUGUGACCUGGUAUUACAAGGCUCUAUUGGGAAUGCCAGGUAGAUGGAAAGAGGGUGCAGGAGGCAACAUGGGAAGGAGUCUAAAAUUCAAUUCAGCAAGUUCAGUGCCUACAGUGAACUAGAUUUUUGUGUAGAAUGGCCUUGGGAUUCAAGGGUCCAAUCUCCAGGAGCAGGGAAGGGAGGCACAGCAGUGGUGUGGGUUGGGGCAGCUUGAUGACAUGGCCCUUGGGAAUGUUAUUUAAUCUUUCUGAGCCUGGGUAUCUUCCUUUGUAAAAUGGGGGUAAUAUUUACCACCUUUGAUUCAUGAUGAUUAAAUGAGAUAAUGUACAUUAAGCAAUUGUCGAUAUUUAUAUAACUUACUACAUGCCAGGUUAUAUUUUAAGGACUUUAUGUGUACUGACUUAACAACAACCCUCUGGGUUAGGAACUAUUACUAUCCCCAGCUUACUCAGGUAGAAAAACCGAGAUAUAGGGAGGUGCCCACAUUCUCUUAGCUAGAAUGUGGUAGAGCUAGAAUUUAAACCAAGGCUGGUUCCAGAGUCCAUGAGAGCCUGGGAUAGAUAUGGUAACAAUACUCGUUGUUUUGAAUUUCAGUCUGUAAAUCCUCAGCUUCUUCCCACUUGUCUAGAUUCCUGAGCUGGAAAGUAAGACAAGAUUCAAGUAGGUUGCAAGACUGCAAAGCUGGAUUACGUGUCCGGGACAAGGCAGGUAGCCUUUUCCUACACCUGGGAACAGAGGUUAAAGUCAAGUACUGAAGAGUUAGGUCCAGCUUCUAAGGGCUCUGGGACAAGACUUCAGUCCAGUGGGAAAUGUGCAUUGGAAUCAGCAGCAUUGGAUGAACCAGGAGCCAAAUGUGGAGAGUGUGUGAGUUUGGGGCUCACCAACCUUACAGCUUCCCUCUCUGAAGAUGAUACACACAGCCUGGACAAGUCACAACUUCCAAGUCACUAUUCCUGGUGGUCAGGUGAGGCUGACCCUACCCCGUUUUCCACAGCUGGAGGUCAGCUCUCCUGCCUUCACUAAGCCUGUCUGCUCUGUUGAUUCAGCACAAUGGCCGAUGCCACCUUUCUGGGCCAGCGGACUCCCACGGCACCCAUGAUGUUGAGAGAGAAGGGGUUUGUAGGGCAAACAAGGAUCUAGUCUACAGAGGACAGCAUGUUUCAUGCAAAGAAAAGGAAAACAUCAAAAUGUUUUGUUUUUGUUCAAUAAAUAUUUGUGUAGUACUCUGAUUCUGUGCCA
This 1667-nucleotide long non-coding RNA is filed under the name Vulpes vulpes (red fox). Its description in RNAcentral is "lncRNA (ENSVVUG00000024093.1)". The record is from RNAcentral. Lineage: Eukaryota; Metazoa; Chordata; Mammalia; Carnivora; Canidae.